GGAAGAGCAAUUCCCAUUGAAAUGUCAAUGACAAACUGGGCACUGAUGUGAAACCUGAUACAAAAUGCACAGAAAAAUAAGCUUUUGACCCAGUUGAUCCAUUUACAUGAAUUUAAUGGAAUCUAUAAUCCCCCAAAACUGGCUCCUUUCCCAGAUUAUGUAUAAUUUGGGCUAAUCAUAGAAGAAAGCGAUCAGAGGUUAGCAGAAACACCCCUCAGAGACUCCAGAAAAAUCACCCUGCUGCAAUCUUUCACUCUGAUCUCUUCCCCUGUUCUUCCCAAACAAGUACCUCAAUGCAGUCUUUGUUAUGUGGAGUCCUGAGGUACAGUUUCCCACUGCUGGCGUUCAACUCAUCUUUCCAACUCCAGCUUCCAAACAACACCA
RNAcentral lists this long non-coding RNA (384 nucleotides) under Gallus gallus (chicken). Its description in RNAcentral is "lncRNA (ENSGALG00010008640.1)". The record is from RNAcentral. Lineage: Eukaryota; Metazoa; Chordata; Aves; Galliformes; Phasianidae.